AGUGAACGCUGGCGGUAGGCCUAACACAUGCAAGUCGAACGGCAGCACAGUAAGAGCUUGCUCUUACGGGUGGCGAGUGGCGGACGGGUGAGGAAUACAUCGGAAUCUACUUUUUCGUGGGGGAUAACGUAGGGAAACUUACGCUAAUACCGCAUACGACCUACGGGUGAAAGCAGGGGAUCUUCGGACCUUGCGCGACUGAAUGAGCCGAUGUCGGAUUAGCUAGUUGGCGGGGUAAAGGCACACCAAGGCGACGAUACGUAGCUGGUCUGAGAGGAUGAUCAGCCACACUGGAACUGAGACACGGUCCAGACUCCUACGGGAGGCGGCAGUGGGGAAUAUUGGACAAUGGGCGCAAGCCUGAUCCAGCCAUACCGCGUGAGUGAAGAAGGUCUUCGGGUUGUAAAGCCCUUUUGUUGGGAAAGAAAAGCAGCAGGUUAAUACCCCGCUGUUCUGACGGUACCCAAAGAAUAAGCACCGGCUAACUUCGUG
RNAcentral lists this ribosomal RNA (492 nucleotides) under uncultured bacterium. RNAcentral describes it as "partial 16S ribosomal RNA". It matches the Rfam family "Bacterial small subunit ribosomal RNA", at positions 29 to 507 of the family's 1533-position model. The record is from RNAcentral.